Molecule: non-coding RNA, 231 nt
Organism: Pelobates cultripes (western spadefoot toad)
Lineage: Eukaryota; Metazoa; Chordata; Amphibia; Anura; Pelobatidae
Source: the annotation of a GenBank genome assembly
CAUUGGUCUGGGCAAAUCUUUUCUUCUUUUUUGUCCUAAACAUUUUAUAAUUGAGAUUAGAGAGUCCAUCAGCUCCCGGGGACUUCCCUGGAGGUAGGAGUGUGAUUUUGCUGAUGGUAAUAGGUUGUAGGAGGGAUUGUACUUGUUCCUCAGUGAGUCUAGGUAGUGUGAUAUUACUUAGGUGGUGAUUGAUUUCCAAUGGCAUAGGGGUGGUUAUAUUUUUGUUGUGUU